GGGUUGUGAGGUUAAGCGACUAAGCGUACACGGUGGAUGCCCUGGCAGUCAGAGGCGAUGAAGGACGUGCUAAUCUGCGAUAAGCGUCGGUAAGGUGAUAUGAACCGUUAUAACCGGCGAUUUCCGAAUGGGGAAACCCAGUGUGAUUCGUCACACUAUCAUUAACUGAAUCCAUAGGUUAAUGAGGCGAACCGGGGGAACUGAAACAUCUAAGUACCCCGAGGAAAAGAAAUCAACCGAGAUUCCCCCAGUAGCGGCGAGCGAACGGGGAGCAGCCCAGAGCCUGAAUCAGUGUGUGUGUUAGUGGAAGCGUCUGGAAAGGCGCGCGAUACAGGGUGACAGCCCCGUACACAAAAAUGCACAUGCUGUGAGCUCGAUGAGUAGGGCGGGACACGUGGUAUCCUGUCUGAAUAUGGGGGGACCAUCCUCCAAGGCUAAAUACUCCUGACUGACCGAUAGUGAACCAGUACCGUGAGGGAAAGGCGAAAAGAACCCCGGCGAGGGGAGUGAAAAAGAACCUGAAACCGUGUACGUACAAGCAGUGGGAGCACGCUUAGGCGUGUGACUGCGUACCUUUUGUAUAAUGGGUCAGCGACUUAUAUUCUGUAGCAAGGUUAACCGAAUAGGGGAGCCGAAGGGAAACCGAGUCUUAACUGGGCGUUAAGUUGCAGGGUAUAGACCCGAAACCCGGUGAUCUAGCCAUGGGCAGGUUGAAGGUUGGGUAACACUAACUGGAGGACCGAACCGACUAAUGUUGAAAAAUUAGCGGAUGACUUGUGGCUGGGGGUGAAAGGCCAAUCAAACCGGGAGAUAGCUGGUUCUCCCCGAAAGCUAUUUAGGUAGCGCCUCGUGAAUUCAUCUCCGGGGGUAGAGCACUGUUUCGGCAAGGGGGUCAUCCCGACUUACCAACCCGAUGCAAACUGCGAAUACCGGAGAAUGUUAUCACGGGAGACACACGGCGGGUGCUAACGUCCGUCGUGAAGAGGGAAACAACCCAGACCGCCAGCUAAGGUCCCAAAGUCAUGGUUAAGUGGGAAACGAUGUGGGAAGGCCCAGACAGCCAGGAUGUUGGCUUAGAAGCAGCCAUCAUUUAAAGAAAGCGUAAUAGCUCACUGGUCGAGUCGGCCUGCGCGGAAGAUGUAACGGGGCUAAACCAUGCACCGAAGCUGCGGCAGCGACGCUUAUGCGUUGUUGGGUAGGGGAGCGUUCUGUAAGCCUGUGAAGGUGUGCUGUGAGGCAUGCUGGAGGUAUCAGAAGUGCGAAUGCUGACAUAAGUAACGAUAAAGCGGGUGAAAAGCCCGCUCGCCGGAAGACCAAGGGUUCCUGUCCAACGUUAAUCGGGGCAGGGUGAGUCGACCCCUAAGGCGAGGCCGAAAGGCGUAGUCGAUGGGAAACAGGUUAAUAUUCCUGUACUUGGUGUUACUGCGAAGGGGGGACGGAGAAGGCUAUGUUGGCCGGGCGACGGUUGUCCCGGUUUAAGCGUGUAGGCUGGUUUUCCAGGCAAAUCCGGAAAAUCAAGGCUGAGGCGUGAUGACGAGGCACUACGGUGCUGAAGCAACAAAUGCCCUGCUUCCAGGAAAAGCCUCUAAGCAUCAGGUAACAUCAAAUCGUACCCCAAACCGACACAGGUGGUCAGGUAGAGAAUACCAAGGCGCUUGAGAGAACUCGGGUGAAGGAACUAGGCAAAAUGGUGCCGUAACUUCGGGAGAAGGCACGCUGAUAUGUAGGUGAAGUCCCUUGCGGAUGGAGCUGAAAUCAGUCGAAGAUACCAGCUGGCUGCAACUGUUUAUUAAAAACACAGCACUGUGCAAACACGAAAGUGGACGUAUACGGUGUGACGCCUGCCCGGUGCCGGAAGGUUAAUUGAUGGGGUCAGCGCAAGCGAAGCUCUUGAUCGAAGCCCCGGUAAACGGCGGCCGUAACUAUAACGGUCCUAAGGUAGCGAAAUUCCUUGUCGGGUAAGUUCCGACCUGCACGAAUGGCGUAAUGAUGGCCAGGCUGUCUCCACCCGAGACUCAGUGAAAUUGAACUCGCUGUGAAGAUGCAGUGUACCCGCGGCAAGACGGAAAGACCCCGUGAACCUUUACUAUAGCUUGACACUGAACAUUGAGCCUUGAUGUGUAGGAUAGGUGGGAGGCUUUGAAGUGUGGACGCCAGUCUGCAUGGAGCCGACCUUGAAAUACCACCCUUUAAUGUUUGAUGUUCUAACGUUGACCCGUAAUCCGGGUUGCGGACAGUGUCUGGUGGGUAGUUUGACUGGGGCGGUCUCCUCCUAAAGAGUAACGGAGGAGCACGAAGGUUGGCUAAUCCUGGUCGGACAUCAGGAGGUUAGUGCAAUGGCAUAAGCCAGCUUGACUGCGAGCGUGACGGCGCGAGCAGGUGCGAAAGCAGGUCAUAGUGAUCCGGUGGUUCUGAAUGGAAGGGCCAUCGCUCAACGGAUAAAAGGUACUCCGGGGAUAACAGGCUGAUACCGCCCAAGAGUUCAUAUCGACGGCGGUGUUUGGCACCUCGAUGUCGGCUCAUCACAUCCUGGGGCUGAAGUAGGUCCCAAGGGUAUGGCUGUUCGCCAUUUAAAGUGGUACGCGAGCUGGGUUUAGAACGUCGUGAGACAGUUCGGUCCCUAUCUGCCGUGGGCGCUGGAGAACUGAGGGGGGCUGCUCCUAGUACGAGAGGACCGGAGUGGACGCAUCACUGGUGUUCGGGUUGUCAUGCCAAUGGCACUGCCCGGUAGCUAAAUGCGGAAGAGAUAAGUGCUGAAAGCAUCUAAGCACGAAACUUGCCCCGAGAUGAGUUCUCCCUGACCCUUUAAGGGUCCUGAAGGAACGUUGAAGACGACGACGUUGAUAGGCCGGGUGUGUAAGCGCAGCGAUGCGUUGAGCUAACCGGUACUAAUGAACCGUGAGGCUUAACCUUACAACGCCGAAGCUGUU
Molecule: ribosomal RNA, 2930 nt
Filed under: Escherichia coli
Lineage: Bacteria; Pseudomonadati; Pseudomonadota; Gammaproteobacteria; Enterobacterales; Enterobacteriaceae
Description: 23S ribosomal RNA
Rfam family: Bacterial large subunit ribosomal RNA
Source: RNAcentral